GAAGCUACGCUACCGCUCAGACAUCGAGGAGUUGGUGCUGUAUCAGCCGACGCUGACAAGGAUCGAGUUUAUAGCUUACGCCGCUGGCUACCUGGGCAUAUGGCUGGGCUUGUCGGUGAUGACAUUCCUCUUGGACAUGCAGGGCAAGAUCAAAACACACAAGAGAGCAAUCGAAGAAGCGUUCAGCGAUGUCUGGACGAAGAAGGCCGGGCGCUUCCGGCUCAAGAACAAAGAGAGGUGGUCUGAUCCCGUGAUCGCCAUCGGCUAAGCACGGCAGUUUUCACAUUUGCAAUAUGUCAAAGCAGAGCUGAAACCCCAC
Dermacentor silvarum is the source of this 319-nucleotide long non-coding RNA. RefSeq lists it as uncharacterized. The transcript is spliced from 4 exons. Lineage: Eukaryota; Metazoa; Arthropoda; Arachnida; Ixodida; Ixodidae. The record is from RefSeq and is a predicted model, not a curated record.